AAGAGAGAGAGAGAAAGGAGAAGAAGUUAGGGUUUGGAAGAGAGGAAGAGCAGAGAAGACAAACCACCGUUAGAUCGAAUCAAGGCAAGAAACUUCUAAACAAUAUUUCUCUCGGUGCUGGAAAAGGAGUUUGGGUGGUGGAUUCACUCAUUCCGGCAAGAAAAUCUGAGAACGGACAAAGUUUCUUGAAGUUCCUGGACGAGAAUCGGACGAAAAUCGGAGUUUAGUCUGACUUCGGGUAAACCGAUCGAAAACAGAAAAUGAGAGAGAAAGAGACCGCCACGCGUCGACCGGCGAACGGAAGAGCGCGGCGGAGCCGGCUUGCGUCACGUGGCAGCGUUCCACUGCUGCGCUGAGUCGGGUCGACCCGUACGCCCGCCGAACCGGUUCGGAAACCCGCGGUCCAACCCGACGUUUCCCGCCAAACACUGCGCGCCACGUGUCGCGCUCAGAAAAUUUGAAGGUAAGUCCGCGGCCGCUGGGGUUCGAAAUGCGGCAUUGCCCUGAGCGUGGAGGCUGCGUGUGUGGGCGUGUGCCGGCGCGUGUGGGGACCUGCUGGCGCGUGCACGGCGCAUGGGACCCCACUCUCUCACCCGGCCUCCGUUUGCUUGUUUUUCGCCCCGAUUUCAACUUUGAUCCUAUUUUUAUGUGAAUUAGGACCUAUCAAGGAAAUUUCAGAAUUUUUGGAACCUUUUCCGGCAAAUAAAUUCAAGCUUGGGAAGGCACGCAUCACCCAAGUCAGUAGCCAUUUGGAUUCCCACAAGCAGUACUUAACCGCUAGGAACAAUCAUGCAUGAUACCACCCAUAAACUUAGGACCUAGUAUAUUAAUAUAGAAACUGGGAAAAUGAAAUGAAUAAGAAAAGCUAGAUAUGAAAUGUUUGUUAAAUCUGUUUUGAUUGAAAUUCUAAUAAAGUAUGUAUGCAUGAGAUGGAUGGAAAAUUUGUGAAAUCUGCGCUCUGGGUAAAUAUGGACUUUAUUUCCCGUUGAGCAUGUUUGUUAAUAUUGCAUGAACUGUUGCGUGUGAACUCCUACGCAUGAUGAUUGUUUGCGUUAUCUUUUUUGUUGAAUAUGAAGAAAUUAUGAGCGUAGAUUAGGGUGCUUGUGACUAAGUAGGCUAGACAAGAACGAGAUUCUAGAUUGGGAGACCUUUAGAAUACUGUGUAUAUACACCCGCGAAACGAUUACUGGCAGAUCCAGAGCCCAGAAUUCCAAACCCGAUAGGUUUGUGAGACCAGGCACGAGAAUCUUAGAGAGGCAUGAAUCCAAGUCUAAGCCACCAAGUUCCACCCUAGAAAGGAUAGUAGGACACGACGGUAACUAUAGGUAGCCCGCUAGAGUUGUGCAGUGUGAGUAGUGUCAUCAGAACCUCCACUUCCCUCUCUGCUCCGAUACCGUACCGUCGAGACAGAGCUCUGGUACAAAGAUCGUUGAGCUUGGCAGAUUCGGAUAGGAAAGUGUGACAGGUGCCCAGACCUAGUGGUGAUAGCUAAGGGGUCUUCUGAACAAGACUCCUGGGCCGUAGAAACCUGUCCCUGAGUGGGGGACGUAGAGCCACGUAGGAUGACUUAGUAGCUGACCGGCACACAGAGGGUCACACCCCGAAUUUAGUGGAUGUAUGGUCCUGUGAGAGGGUUGUCUAACCUCUACGGAUGAUGUUCAGAGAGAGUCACGUAUUUUAGAUCCAGCCAUACGAUCCCCUCAGAUUUACUUAUGAGGUCGCCCCUCGCCUUAGGACACUGAUCAUUUCACUGCAAUAGAUGGGCAAGCCUCCUAAGAUACAGAAAAGAGAGUUGUAGCUUAGAUUACUCUCCUUAGAAACUCGAGAAAGACCGUGGAUACCUACUAAGAUAAGGAAGCGAAAA
Molecule: long non-coding RNA, 1864 nt
Organism: Cucurbita moschata (crookneck pumpkin)
Lineage: Eukaryota; Viridiplantae; Streptophyta; Magnoliopsida; Cucurbitales; Cucurbitaceae
Exons: 3
Source: RefSeq, a predicted model, not a curated record